UACGUGGGAUGCGAACGUUAUCCGGAUUUACUGGGCGUAAAGAGUUCGUAGGCGUUUUUCUAAGUUUCAUUUGAAAUACCGAGGCUUAACUUCGGGACCGGAUGAAAUACUAGAAGGAUUUGAGUCGGUUAGGGGGUACUGGAAUUGACAGUGUAGCAGUGAAAUGCGUUGAUAUUGUCAAGAACACCAAGGGCGAAGGCAGGUACCUGGGACCGCACUGACGCUGAGGAACGAAAGCUAGGGGAGCGAAAGGG
This 254-nucleotide ribosomal RNA is filed under the name uncultured bacterium. RNAcentral's name for it is "partial 16S ribosomal RNA". It matches the Rfam family "Bacterial small subunit ribosomal RNA", at positions 524 to 776 of the family's 1533-position model. The record is from RNAcentral.